RNAcentral lists this ribosomal RNA (381 nucleotides) under uncultured eukaryote. RNAcentral's name for it is "partial 18S ribosomal RNA". It matches the Rfam family "Eukaryotic small subunit ribosomal RNA", at positions 592 to 976 of the family's 1831-position model. The record is from RNAcentral.
UGUAAGCGUAUACCAAAGUUGUUGCAGUUAAAACGCUCGUAGUCGGAAUUUGGCAGUUCCGGAUGUGUGCACGUCGUGUGCGCACUUCGCGGGGAUUGCUUUUGUGGUCUUGCGUAGGAUGAGGCACUUUUAUUAGUGAACGUCCUCACGCAACCACUUUUACUGUGAGAAAAUCAGAGUGCUCAAAGCAGGCAUUUGCCGUGAAUGUAUUAGCAUGGAAUAAUAGAAUAGGACUUGGUUCUAUUUUGUUGGUUUGUUGGGACUGAGUAAUGAUUAAGAGGGACAGUUGGGGGCAUUUGUAUUUCGGUGCUAGAGGUGAAAUUCUUAGAUUACCGAAAGACAAACUGCUGCGAAAGCGUCUGCCAAGGAUGUUUUCAUUGA